AGACGUAGGGUCCGAGCGUUGUCCGGAGUUACUGGGCGUAAAGCGCGCGCAGGCGGUUGGUUGCGUCGGGUGUGAAAGCCCCCCGCUCAACGGGGGAGGGUCAUUCGAAACGGGCCAACUGGAGGCAGGGAGAGGUCGGUGGAAUUCCCGGUGUAGUGGUGAAAUGCGUAGAUAUCGGGAGGAACACCAGUGGCGAAGGCGGCCGGCUGGACCUGACCUGACGCUGAGGCGCGAAGGCGUGGGGAGCGAACGGGAUUAGAUACCCCGGUAGUCCACGCAGUAAACGAUGUGCACUAGGUGUGGGGGGUGUAGACCCCCUCCGUGCCGGCGCUAACGCAGUAAGUGCACCGCCUGGGGAGUACGGCCGCAAGGCUAAA
This 377-nucleotide ribosomal RNA is filed under the name uncultured bacterium. RNAcentral's name for it is "bacterial SSU rRNA". It matches the Rfam family "Bacterial small subunit ribosomal RNA", at positions 523 to 898 of the family's 1533-position model. The record is from RNAcentral.